UGAGGCAGCCUUAGCAGGUUCUGGGGAGAGAAGAGGAAACAUGAGCAAACGCACCUUCCAAAUGUCCACCUCUGCCAUGCGGGAUGCAGGCAGGUCCAGGUGGGAGUGUCAGAAACAUGAAGAAAACGUCUCUGAUGGGUGAUCCUUCUAGCUGAGAGCAGCUAGGAAUGUGCUUGCCAUCUGGCUGAAAAGAGUCUCAGGAAGUGUUGGGCUGUUGUCAUUUGGACUGCUUGUCUUUGGUACUGGCCAUGGAGUAGGAGGGGGAUUGACAUUGCUCUCUGACCAGUCUAAUAUUCAAAACCAGAGCAUAUCAGAUCUAGUGAAGAAGUCACAUGGACCCACCAGUUGAUGGCCACAUCCGUGGUUGCCUCCGAAUAAAAAUAAGACAUUUCUCCCAUGUUCCUCAUACUGGAAUACAUUUGAGGAGAUAGGAGAUAUGCAUCAUCGAACCCAAUCCAAAAAUAUGAAAAAUGAAGGAAAAGGUUAGAUUCUGAAAAGCAAAUAAACUAUUGCUAUGGAUAAGG
Molecule: long non-coding RNA, 524 nt
Organism: Homo sapiens (human)
Lineage: Eukaryota; Metazoa; Chordata; Mammalia; Primates; Hominidae
Source: Ensembl